AAUCAACGCUGGCGGCGUGCCUCAGACAUGCAAGUCGAACGAUUAAAGCUCUCUUCGGAGAGUGUAUAGAGUGGCGCACGGGUGAGUAACACGUAAGUAAUCUACCUUUGAGUGGGAGUAACGUCCGGAACGGACGCUAAUACCGCAUAAUGCAGCGGCAUCGCAAGAUGACAGUUGUUAAAGAUUUAUCGCUUGAAGAGGAGCUUGCGGCAGAUUAGCUAGUUGGUAAGGUAAUGGCUUACCAAGGCUACGAUCUGUAACCGGUCUAAGAGGACGGUCGGUCACACUGACACUGAAUAACGGGUCAGACUCCUACGGGGAGGCAGCAGUCGGGUAAUUUUGGGCAAUGGGCGAAAGCCUGACCCAGCAACGCCGCGUGAAGGAUGAAGUAUUUCGGUAUGUAAACUUCGAAAGAAUGGGAAGAAUAAAUGACGGUACCA
This 440-nucleotide ribosomal RNA is filed under the name uncultured bacterium. Its description in RNAcentral is "bacterial SSU rRNA". It matches the Rfam family "Bacterial small subunit ribosomal RNA", at positions 32 to 480 of the family's 1533-position model. The record is from RNAcentral.